This 450-nucleotide ribosomal RNA is filed under the name uncultured bacterium. Its description in RNAcentral is "partial 16S ribosomal RNA". It matches the Rfam family "Bacterial small subunit ribosomal RNA", at positions 354 to 796 of the family's 1533-position model. The record is from RNAcentral.
GUGGGGAAUAUUGGACAAUGGGCGAAAGCCUGAUCCAGCCAUGCCGCGUGUGUGAAGAAGGUCUUCGGAUUGUAAAGCACUUUAAGUUGGGAGGAAGGGCAGUAAGUUAAUACCUUGCUGUUUUGACGUUACCGACAGAAUAAGCACCGGCUAACUUCGUGCCAGCAGCCGCGGUAAUACGAAGGGUGCAAGCGUUAAUCGGAAUUACUGGGCGUAAAGCGCGCGUAGGUGGUUUUGUAAGUUGGAGGUGAAAUCCCCGGGCUCAACCUGGGAACUGCCUCCAAAACUGCAUGACUAGAGUACGGUAGAGGGUAGUGGAAUUUCCUGUGUAGCGGUGAAAUGCGUAGAUAUAGGAAGGAACACCAGUAGCGAAGGCGACUACCUGGACUGAUACUGACACUGAGGUGCGAAAGCGUGGGGAGCAAACAGGAUUAGAAACCCGGGUAGUCC